RNA transcript from Gigantopelta aegis, 1257 nucleotides. RefSeq lists it as uncharacterized. The transcript has 4 exons. The record is from RefSeq and is a predicted model, not a curated record. Lineage: Eukaryota; Metazoa; Mollusca; Gastropoda; Neomphalida; Peltospiridae.
GUCAUAUUCAGGCUGAAGUCCACCGUGUUUUUUCCGACAACAAGAACAUCGAAAGUAGGAAAGUACCGAAGGAAAUACGGGUCAUCCAUAAAAGUUUCUUCUCUGGUGUGACAGUCAACCCCACUGGUCAACAAUGAAUACCAUGAACACGUGUGUGCUUUUUCUCCGACGCGUGGCGCGGACACACAGCAAACUGGAGAACAUACCUUCCAAGUCGAGCCUUUAUUUUGGCUACAGUUUGUUCUUCUUGGGGAACGUGUUCCACACCAUUGCCAUGUCUGCCCCUCACUGGGCUGAUGGCGCCCAUGGACAUGUCGGGCUCUGGGUGAUAUGCAAUCGCACCAGCCCAACGGCGAGCUGCCAUACAUUCCCCAAGUCUGAAGGUAUAUAUUUACACCAGACUCGGUGGUGUCGUACUUAAGCCAUCGGGUAUAAGGUACUUGGAUCGCAGCACGAAAAUAGAGUGGAUUAUAUUUCCUCAGAUUUUCGCGGUGUUUACGCUGUUUCUGUCGCUGCUGUGUGCAGGUUUCAUCAUCUCAGGCUUCGUUAAAGAGACGACGUUACCGUUAGUCCACGCAAUCUGUAAUCUCGUCUUGUUCGCAGGUUUCUGCUCGAUUGUGUCAGUGAUAUAUUUCCUCAGGCGAUAUAAUCGACUUGGGAAGGUCGCUGAAUACGCCGGCUGGGCUAUGAAACUGGAAUCGGUCGCCGGGUCCGUUCUCCUUGUAGGGGGUAUGUUGUUGUUCUCGCUGGAUCCCUCCUGACGUUUUUAGCACAUACCCUGUCGACUGAUUUAGAUAUGGAACACUGACUUUAUUGCCGAGUCUGUUCGUGGAAUAUAUAUGAGAUUGUGACUUUAAGACUGUAGCUGUGUUUGUGUUCUACAUUAGUAAAAUAUGUUAAAUAAUGAGAUUGUGACUUUAAGACUGUAGCUGUGUUUGUGUUCUACAUUAGUAAAAUAUGUUAAAUAAUGGGAGGUGAGAUUGUGACUUUAAGACUAGCUGUUUUUGUGUUCUACAGUAGUAAAAUAUGUUAAACAAUGAGAGGUGAGAUUGUGGCUUUAAGACUAGUUAUGUUUGUGUUUUACAUUAGUAAAAUAUGUUAAACGAUGAGAGGUGAGAGUGUGACUUUAAGACUGUAGUUGUGUUUGUGUUUUACAUUAGUAAAAUAUGUUAAACGAUGGGAGGUGAGAUUGUGGCUUUAAGACUGUAGUUGUGUUUGUGUUUUACAUUAGUAAAAUAUGUUAAACGAUGGGAGGUG